RNAcentral lists this ribosomal RNA (295 nucleotides) under uncultured beta proteobacterium. RNAcentral describes it as "partial 16S ribosomal RNA". It matches the Rfam family "Bacterial small subunit ribosomal RNA", at positions 502 to 798 of the family's 1533-position model. The record is from RNAcentral. Lineage: Bacteria; Pseudomonadati; Pseudomonadota; Betaproteobacteria.
UACGUGCCAGCAGCCGCGGUAAUACGUAGGGUGCAAGCGUUAUUCGGAAUUACUGGGCGUAAAGCGUGCGCAGGGGUUUUGUAAGUCAGAUGUGAAAUCCCCGGGCUCAACUUGGGAACUGCAUUUGAGACUGCAGACUAGAGUACGACAGAGGGGGGUGGAAUUCCUGGUGUAGCAGUGAAAUGCGUAGAUAUCAGGAGGAACACCGAUGGCGAAGGCAGCCCCCUGGGCCAUGACUGACACUCAGGCACGAAAGCGUGGGGAGCAAACAGGAUUAGAUACCCUGGUAGUCCAC